Molecule: ribosomal RNA, 253 nt
Filed under: uncultured bacterium
Lineage: Bacteria
Description: partial 16S ribosomal RNA
Rfam family: Bacterial small subunit ribosomal RNA
Source: RNAcentral
UACGUAGGUGGCAAGCGUUAUCCGGAAUUAUUGGGCGUAAAGCGCGCGUAGGCGGUUUUUUAAGUCUGAUGUGAAAGCCCACGGCUCAACCGUGGAGGGUCAUUGGAAACUGGAAAGCUUGAGUGCAGAAGAGGAAAGUGGAAUUCCAUGUGUAGCGGUGAAAUGCGUAGAGAUAUGGAGGAACACCAGUGGCGAAGGCGGCCUUCUGGUCUGUAACUGACGCUGAGACGCGAAAGCGUGGGGAGCAAACAGG